This 253-nucleotide ribosomal RNA is filed under the name uncultured bacterium. RNAcentral's name for it is "partial 16S ribosomal RNA". It matches the Rfam family "Bacterial small subunit ribosomal RNA", at positions 524 to 776 of the family's 1533-position model. The record is from RNAcentral.
UACGUAGGGGGCGAGCGUUGUCCGAAGUUACUGGGCGUAAAGAGCGCGUAGGCGGGCUCCUAAGUGAGGGGUGAAAGGUUCGGGCUCAACCCGGAGAGUGCCUUUCAUACUGGGAGCCUUGAGUGCGGGAGAGGCAAGUGGAAUGGUCGGUGUAGCGGUGAAAUGCGUAGAUAUCGAUCGGAACACCAGUGGCGAAGGCGGCGAUCUGGACAGAUAUUGACGCUGAGGUGCGAAAGCGUGGGGAGCAAACAGG